This 1401-nucleotide long non-coding RNA is filed under the name Nothobranchius furzeri (turquoise killifish). Its description in RNAcentral is "lncRNA (ENSNFUG00015015996.1)". Lineage: Eukaryota; Metazoa; Chordata; Actinopteri; Cyprinodontiformes; Nothobranchiidae. The record is from RNAcentral.
AUGUCAUUUUCUCCCUUUGAACUGUGCCUAUUUGAACUGUGCAUCUCCCCCCGCCUGCUCGUUGUGCUGAUUUAUCGCCCUCCAAAGACUGACUCUAACUUCCUUAAUGAUUUCUGUGAUCUUGUGGCAGACUGCAUCCUAAAACAUGACUAUGUCCUAUUUUUUGGUGAUUUUAACAUCCAUAUCUGCUGUCCUGAGCUUGCUAAAGGCUUUUUGAAUUUGCUAGAUUCAUUCAAUUUGACUCAAUGGGUAUCGUCCCCAACUCAUGCCAGGGGUCACACCCUGGACCUGGUUAUCUCUUUUGGUCUCCCUGUCAUGAACCUUGUGACUUUGCCUCCUGUGUUCUCUGACCACUCUCCUAUACUCUGUGAUGUUACGUUGCCAUGUCCUGUCCCUGUGUGUGAAGCUCCAGCUACUAGUUUCAGAGCCCUGGAUGCAGAAACUAUUUCAAAGUUUGUGGACUGUAUGUCUGUAAGGUUAGAGACCUUUAACCCUGAUCCAUCUAACGUUGAUCACUAUUCACAACACUUUGAUGUACGUUGUAAUCAGGUCCUGGACGUGGUUGCCCCUCUCAAGCUUUGCAAGUCUAGGCCUAAGAGGGUGCCUUGGCUAUCUGAUGUCACACGGGCUUGUAGGCGGGCGUGUAGAGCUUCUGAGAGAAAGUGGAAAAAGGAUGGCCUACAGGUCUCGCGUGAGUUGUUCAGAGCAUCACUGGUUGCUUAUCAUGAUGCUGUGAGGGCUGCUAGAACUGCAUAUUUUGCAGACAUCAUCGAAACAAACUCCAAGAAUCCCAGGAUUCUCUACAAAACACUUAAUUCUGUUCUGGUGUAUCAAGAGCCUAGCUCCAUGUCUCCUACAGCUGCUGGAAAAACUGAAGAUUUUCACAGAUUCUUUGUUCAUAAAGUGUCGGGCAUUAGAGCAGCUAUUUCUGGUAACUCUGUUGACCCUGUUCCAGUUCCUCCAUUACCACCCACCCUGAGCUCCCUCAAUACUGUUUCAUACUCUGAGCUGAGUAAGCUUGUUGCGAGGCAGAAGCCAUCUGGCUCUCCACUUGACGUUCUGCCGCCUCGUCUCUGGAAGGCUGCCUUUCCGUGUCUUGGCCCUUCACUUGGACAGAUUAUCAAUGGGAGCCUCAGCACAGGUGUUGUCCCAGCAGCUUUGAAAGCAGCAGUUAUUCCGCCAACCCUGAAGAAACCUGGUGCUGAUGUCUCUGUGAUCACAAAUUACAGGCCUAUCUCUACCCUGCCUUUUACAUCAAAACUGCUUGAGAAAAUCGUUCAUCAGCAGCUGGUCUCACAUUUAGCUGACUCUGAUCUGUUUGAGGUUUUCCAAUUAGGGUUCAGGUCCGGCCAUAGCACAGAGUCGGCUCUACUGAGGGUCUUAAAUGAUAUCUAUCACUAG